This 336-nucleotide ribosomal RNA is filed under the name uncultured Spongospora. RNAcentral's name for it is "SSU rRNA". It matches the Rfam family "Eukaryotic small subunit ribosomal RNA", at positions 611 to 955 of the family's 1831-position model. The record is from RNAcentral. Lineage: Eukaryota; Endomyxa; Phytomyxea; Plasmodiophorida; Plasmodiophoridae.
GACUUGUGUGUGUUGCUGUUCAGCGGUCUGCAUUCAAAAGAGUGUUACGACAUGCGGCAGUGGCGCCGUAAAAUCUUCAACUGGAUCGCAACUGGACUUAAUUGCCUGGUUGCAGUCAUUCGGUUGAUCGUUUACUGUGAGAAAAUUAGAGUGUUCAAGGCAGGCAUUAUUGCAAUUGAAUAUGUUAGCAUGGAAUAAUAAGAUAGGGCUUUGGUACUAUUUUGUUGGUUUCUAGGACCAAAGUAAUGAUUGAUAGGGACAGUUGGGGGUGCUAGUAUUCAAUGGCCAGAGGUGAAAUUCUUGGAUUCAUUGAAGACUAACUUAUGCGAAAGCAUU